Molecule: ribosomal RNA, 484 nt
Filed under: uncultured bacterium
Lineage: Bacteria
Description: partial 16S ribosomal RNA
Rfam family: Bacterial small subunit ribosomal RNA
Source: RNAcentral
AUUGAACGCUGGCGGCAGGCCUAACACAUGCAAGUCGAGCGGAUGAAGGGAGCUUGCUCCUGGAUUCAGCGGCGGACGGGUGAGUAAUGCCUAGGAAUCUGCCUGGUAGUGGGGGAUAACGUCCGGAAACGGGCGCUAAUACCGCAUACGUCCUGAGGGAGAGAGUGGGGGAUCUUCGGACCUCACGCUAUCAGAUGAGCCUAGGUCGGAUUAGCUAGUUGGUGGGGUAAAGGCCUACCAAGGCGACGAUCCGUAACUGGUCUGAGAGGAUGAUCAGUCACACUGGAACUGAGACACGGUCCAGACUCCUACGGGAGGCAGCAGUGGGGAAUAUUGGACAAUGGGCGAAAGCCUGAUCCAGCCAUGCCGCGUGUGUGAAGAGGGUCUUCGGAUUGUAAAGCACUUUAAGUUGGGAGGAAGGGCAGUAAGUUAAUACCUUGCUGUUUUGACGUUACCAACAGAAUAAGCACCGGCUAACUUCGUG